GGCUAACGCUGGCGGCGUGUCUUAGCCAUGCAAGUCGAGUGGACUUAUGGGGUAACUUAUAAGUCAGCGGCGGACGGCGGAGUAACACGUAGCUAACCUACCCUCUGGACGGGGAUAACCUACCGAAAGGUGGGCUAAUACCCGAUGUAGUCAUCCUGUAUAGGGGUGAUGAAAGGUGGGCUUCUGUUUACAAGCUCAUGCUGGAGGAGGGGGCUGCGGCCUAUCAGGUAGUUGGUAGGGUAAUAGCCUACCAAGCCGAUGACGGGUAGCCGGCCUGAGAGGGUGACCGGCCCGAGGGGCACUGAGAUACGGGUCCCACUCCUACGGGAGGCAGCAGGCUAGAAAUUUGGGCAAUGGGGGAAACCCUGACCCAGUGACGCCGCGUGCAGGAAGGAGCCCUUCGGGGUGUAAACUGCUGUCGUGUAGGGAGAAGGGUACUAAGGUAGAACAAUCUUAGUACUUGACGGUACUACAGGAGGAAGCCCAGGCUAACCUCGUG
This 499-nucleotide ribosomal RNA is filed under the name uncultured bacterium. RNAcentral's name for it is "bacterial SSU rRNA". It matches the Rfam family "Bacterial small subunit ribosomal RNA", at positions 28 to 507 of the family's 1533-position model. The record is from RNAcentral.